GUGACGUCACCGAUUGAAACGCUAUUCGCGCGCACCACUGCGAACUAGCUAGCCAUUUCACAUCGGUUACAGAAGCACCUGGUGUUUGUCUGCAUUGCGGCUAGCAGAGUGGAGAGCUGUAUCGCAAUGGUGACCACUACUCACCUUGUUGCCCUGCUGCACUGGAUCCUUACAGCCAAUUUGUCACUUGAAGAGCCAAGCACAGCAGAUCUUCCAGUCUGGAUGACCAGACGACGGGUCCGGAACAGCAAUCCCAAUCUAGACAUCCGCUGCCGAGCCAUGGAGCGGACUUCAUCAUUUGCAGACACCCUACCCCCGGGUCGACCACCAGAGGGGGGACUGCAACAGUGAUCACCAACUGGAUAUCUGCUGCCCAGCCAUGGAAUGGACUUCAUUCGCAGAAACCCUACCCGGGUCGAUCACCAGAUGGGGACCACAACAAUGGUCCACAACAAGGACAACCCAAGGAUGGAGUUCCUCUGGCUGAUCCUGACACUCUGCGCCCUGGUCAAAACCAACCCAGCAGAUGUAAUCACGAGCGGACCCCCUAAGGGAAUCGUUCUCCGCUAUGAUCCAGGACUCCUUAUACUGUAACUAACUGCAUAGUACGCAUGCCGAGGGUGUACGUCCGCCUAGAUUCAGAGAACGUGUACCUCCAACACAUUCCACCUGUGGCGCACUAUUUGCCCUUGGUACCACUACUGUCAAUGCAGUCAACCACAGUCAAGAUAAAUGUUAGGAAGAUUACUGAAGAGAUGUCACUUAUCCAGCAACAGCUGAAACCACAGGCACUCAGGUUGCAACAUGUGGGAAAGUCUCUUCAGGACACUAUUCUGGUGGUAAACACACGCUACUCUCCUGUAGGAAAGCUAGUAGAGGUAUUUUGUGUAACACGUGUCAUAUUGUGUUGGCCCGCUAGGGACCUGUUUCAUUGUACUAAGUUCUAAUCAGUGGCCUAAACUGUGUGUUUGUGUAUCUUAUGUUAUCAUUUAGCUUGUUAGUAAAUAAAUAAUCAACUGGUGUGGUACGGAAUAAUUUAGUGAGACUUGGGUUUGUGCAGAUUCCCAAAUUAUGCGACGUUCAGGAUGAGACUGUAGAGGAAAUUAAUUAAUUAGCAACUGCUGUAAAAUCGAUAUUCUGAUAUUGAGUUCAUUUGGGAAACGGAAAUUCAAUAAAAAACAACU
Molecule: non-coding RNA, 1184 nt
Organism: Oncorhynchus mykiss (rainbow trout)
Lineage: Eukaryota; Metazoa; Chordata; Actinopteri; Salmoniformes; Salmonidae
Source: RefSeq, a predicted model, not a curated record